CACGUAGGGCGCAAGCGUUGUCCGGAAUUAUUGGGCGUAAAGAGCUCGUAGGCGGUCUGUCGCGUCCGCUGUGAAAACUCGGGGCUUAACCCCGAGCCUGCAGUGGAUACGGGCAGACUAGAGGUAGGUAGGGGAGAAUGGAAUUCCCGGUGUAGCGGUGAAAUGCGCAGAUAUCGGGAGGAACACCGGUGGCGAAGGCGGCUAUCUGGACCGUAACUGACGCUGAGGCGCGAAAGCGUGGGGAGCAAACAGG
RNAcentral lists this ribosomal RNA (253 nucleotides) under uncultured bacterium. RNAcentral describes it as "partial 16S ribosomal RNA". It matches the Rfam family "Bacterial small subunit ribosomal RNA", at positions 524 to 776 of the family's 1533-position model. The record is from RNAcentral.